Molecule: long non-coding RNA, 11648 nt
Filed under: Equus caballus (horse)
Lineage: Eukaryota; Metazoa; Chordata; Mammalia; Perissodactyla; Equidae
Description: lncRNA (ENSECAG00000055521.1)
Source: RNAcentral
CCCUUGUAAAUAAUGUAUGGACCAAAAAAACAAUAGUGAGGAAAAUAAAAACAUUUGGCAUUGAAUGAAAAAGAAUCAACAACAUAUCAAAAAGCGUGGAGGGUGCAGUUAAAGAAGUACUUAGAUGGCAAUUGAGAUCUAUAAAUGCUAUGUUAGAAAAUAAAAGCUUAAAAUCUGUUAUUCAAACUGUAUAUAUAUUUGACCUUCUAAGUGUAUCAUAUAAAAGAGACAUAAAAUGCAAAUACAAUUUUGUAUACAAAUACAAAACACUCUUUUGUAUUUUCCUUGACUGCUUUUUGGAUAUCUUUUCCAAUUAUCUUCCAGGUCACUAAUUCUCUCUUCUGGUAUAUUUAAGCAUCUAUCAAACCCAUCUAUAGAGUUCUUAUAUUCAGUUGCUUUUUUUUUAGCUUGAGGAUUUCUAUUAACGCUUUUUUUCAAAUCUGUUAUGCCAUUUUUUAUAGUUUCCAAUUCUCUGCCAAAAUUGGCAAUCUUGUCUGUUAUCUAUUCAUACACAGUAAAUAUAAUCACUUUAAAUUCUACAUCUGAUCUUCCAAUAUCUGGAGCUACUAUUUCUAAGGCCUUUUUUUUUUUUCAGAUUCUUCACUUCCUGAACUCUUGUAUGCCUGGUAUAUUAUAUCCUAGAAAUGGUACUUGAAAAGAAUAUUUUUAGAAAUAUUUGAGGCCUAGGAUGAUCCUCUCUUUUUCCAGGUAUCUGAUUGCACUGAGAGCAAUCUGGAGCCAGCUUAAUGCAGUCUCAAGAAGUGAGAUUGUUCUAGAACACACAGUGACUUGAGUCCUCGCUCCUCCUGCCCCUCUUCUCUCAUUCCUAGCACAAAGUCCUCUAGAUACUCAGAACUCCUCUCACAAGAGAGCUCCUCAGGCCCUCGCCCUUUAUUUCCUGUUUUCAAAAGCCUCCCGCUUCUGCUACCCUCGGCCCUCAACACUGUGGUCAGUGCCGCUCGGCUCUCAGCUGCCUCAUUUCUUUGCCAAACCUCAAGGGCAAGGCGGCUAUAAUGCUUGGCUGUCUCUCAGGACCUCUUUCUUCUCUCACAUCUUGACAUGUGUUUCCUCCUGAUCUUGACAGCUCUGUAAUCCCCUCAAGCAGAGCUUUCCACUCCUUUUUUUUAAAAACAGAGAUUUUUUUUUUAAAGAUUGGCCCUGAGCUAACAUCUGUUGCCAAUUGAUUUUUUCUUCUUCUUCUCCCCAAAGCCCCCCCAGUACAUAGUUGUAUAUUCUAGUUGUGAGUGCCUCUGGUUGUGGCAUGUGGGGCGCCACCUGGCAUGGCCUGAUGAGCGGUGCUGAGUCUGCGCCCAGGAUCCCAACCAGCGAAACCCUGGGCAGCCAACGCGGAGCGCAUGAACUUAACCACUCGGCCACGGGGCAGCCCCUCCUCUCCUUUUACAGCAAGUUCAAUGUUUCUCCCUAGUCUCAGUGGGAGGCAUCCGUCGGAAGCCACCUGCUUGUGUUUUAAGUACUGUGUCUUUAGUUCUGCCACCUGUAAAAUGGUGAUGCUGACUAUUGUGGUCUUCAAAUUGAUUAGCAUGUGUCUAAAAUGGUGCUUAGCAUUGAGGAAGCACCGUGGACAGCAUUAACUCUCACUCACUGAUUAAAUCAAUGUCUCCAGUGCUUUGGUGUUUGGUGGGUGCUUGUUGGGUAUUAAUAAGCGUGUUCCACAAAGUGAAGAUGAAAAUCAACAGGAACAGAGAAAGCAGGGACGUGUCUCUGGGGCGUUCCUGACCUCUCAUCCUCAGGGGCCCUGACCUUGCCUCCUGGCCUCCUUCAGGUCAUGGGUGUGCCUGGCAGGUACAGUGCCUGCAAAGUGACCGUGGUGGCCCCACCCACACGAGGCAAGAGCUGGAAAUGUCAGAGAGGCAGAGAGGUGGAAGGCUUGGACCCCCCUUCACCAGCAAGCACUGAGGGGUUCCAGACAUUAAUGCUGGGUGCACAGCUGAAGAGGGGGUGGGAAUUUACUCUUUCAACUCUGUCUGUCUGAUACUCAAAGUGCUCCUUCACUUUCAAUUUAAUUUGCAGUUUUCUGACCAGCAGUGAAUCCGAGCUCCUUUUCACAUGCCUGUUGUUAUUUGUAUUCGUUCUUCUGUGAAUUACUCAUUCAUGCACUUUGCCUAAGUUUCUAUGGGUUGUAUCAUUUUCCUACAUGUUUAUGCGAGUGCUUCAAAUAUAUCUUAGGUAUUCGUCCUUCAUUUGUUGUAGAUGAUGCAUCUACUUUACAACAGUUGUUUUUAUAUUAGCUUUUUCACAGGUAAUUUCUGCCUUAAAAACUUACAUUUUUAGUAUUAAAUAUCUGUGUUUUCCUUUAAAGCUUUUGAUUUUGCUGAUCUUGGUUAAAAAGCUUGUCCUCAUCCAUAGGUUGUACAUGUAUUUGCAAAGAAUUCCUUGCAAGAUGUUUCCUGUUUUACAUUUAGGUCAUUAUGUCAUCUGGGAUUUAUUUUAGUAUAAUGUGUGAGACAAGGACGUCAUCUUAAAAAGAAACCUUCCAUUCUCCACUGAAUUGAAAGGCCACAUUAGCCAUACAUUAAAUCCUCGUGUAAACUGAGUUCUGGAUUCUCGGUUCUGUUCCACCAACAUGUUUAUCUAAGUCUUUGCCAAUAUUUUAUUGAUCUCGUAAGAUUCUAAUAGAAUUUAUUACUUGCUUGUAUUAAUUUGGGGGGAAUUGACAUUUUAAGAACAUUAAAUAUUCUCGUGUAAGAACACGAUAUGUCAUUCCUUUUAUUCAGAGUUUGUUUCAGGAAUUUCAAUAAAAUGCUACUGAAUUUUCAUGCAAAUUUGUGCUUUUCUUUUGGAACUUAUUUAUGGAUUUUUUGGUUUUGAAUGGAAUUUUUUCAUUAAGACUUUUUUUAGAGUAAUUUUAAGGUUCACAGUAAAAUUGAGGGGAAAGCACAGAGAUUUCCCAUAUACCCUCUGCCCCAACGCAUGCACAGCCUUGCCCAUUAUCAACGUCCCCCACUGGAGUGGUGCGUUUGUUACGAUUGAUGAACCUAUACUGACACAUCACAGUCACCCAAAGUCCAGAGUUUACAUUAGGGUUCACUCUUCGUGUUAUACAUUGGGUGUGUUUGGGCAAAGGUGUAAUGACAUGUAUUUAUCAUUGUUGUAUCAUUUCGAGUAUUUUCACUGCCCUAAAAAUCUUCUGUGCUCCUCAUUCAUCCCCACCCCCCACAGCAACCCAUGGAAACCACUGGUUUACUCUCUCCACAGUUUUGCUGUUCCAGAAUGUCACAGCAUUGGAAUCACACAGGAUGGUGCCUUUCAGAUUGGCUUCUUUCACUUUGUGAUACGCAUUUAAGUUUCCUCCAUGUCUUUUCAUGAAUGGAAUAAUUUUAAUUUUUAUGUACUUAUUACCAGUAUAGAAAGAAACUAUCAAUCAUUGUAUAAAAUCAACUAGUAUACCUCACUGCUCCUGGUCUUCUUAUGCAUUCUAUAAGUUAGUUUUACUAGAGUUCCUUGAAUUUAUUAUUAUAUAAUCAUGUCAUUUACAAAAUAAGAUAAUCCUAUUUCUUCUUUUUAAAUAUGUACAUUGGUUAUUUCAUUUCCCUACCUUAUUACCUCUUAGUACCUCUAAAAAUGUGAUGCUCAAACAUAUUAUUUAAAAUGUAAGGUAUCUUAAUGAAUUUCUUUAUGUGUUGAUUAAACUAACAGAGGUAGUAGGAUCUGAAAAAGGAACCCUUUACCCAAACAAUUGCUGCUCAUUAAAAUGACCACAGAAUAAGAAAAUGCUCUCUGAGUUGCUUUCUGUCCUAAACUAAGGUGUGUCAAAGAUUCAUUUAAAAAUUUACAUUUCUCCUAUAAAUUCACUCCAAUGUUGGACUCUGAAGUGAGGAUAACAUAGUUUGAGAUAUCAGUUUUUAGGGAAAAAAACUACAUAACCCAUACUUUUUGUGAGCUAUCAAAUUAUAUAUGUAAAGGUAGACUUUUUUCCUUAAAAUUAAUCUUUUUUCUAAGUUAAAUGUGUCUUUCUGGAUAACCCUAUAACGUGGUCCUAAUAAACACUUUUAAAUUUUGACAAAAGGUAAGAAGUUAGUAUGCUGUUUCAUAUUUAUUAAGGGAUGUCCCAAACUUUUCACUGCAGAGACUGUAUUUCCAGCAUGUAAGGAAGAAACUUUGUUUAAUUUUACUACACGAAGAGAAAGAAGAUAAUAGUUAAUUAAGUUACAUAAAAAUCCGUUUCUCAUUACAGCAGGCUCGGGCACUGAGUUUCCUGCUGGGAAGUCGUGAAGAUGUUACGUCGUUGCCUCCAGUUUUCUCUCACAAUAAAACGAUUUCCUUCAGAGUGAGAGGAAUAUGUGAAACAGAAGAUAAAAACACUCAGCCAAUAUUAGCAUAAGAUUUAAGUUGAAGUUAUAGCGUACUGGAGUCUCUUGAUUACAUGACGGUAAAAUACAAUAUGACAUCUUCAUUGUGCUAGGUGCCUUUUUGGAUAACAUUUAUGACUCAUUAAUGUGAAACUCAAGGGGAGUGUAUCCCAUAUUAAAACUUGAUGGCAGAGAUGGGGAAAAAUCUAUACCGUAUUCUAAAGCAGCUGUUAUAUGAUUAUCUGCUUCACUGGUCAGAGAAAUAGUUAAUUCCCAGGUACAAAUAACAUCAUGAAACACAACAUUCUUCCUUAGAGAUAGCUUAACUCAAUAUUACUACACUCUUAAUCCAGUCAUUGACCCAAACCAACUUCAACAGGGAGCAACAUACAGCAGGAAACCACCACAGUGGAUCAACUGUCCCUUGUUGGUAUAAAUUAUUCCCAUCUAUUCAGAAGAAACCCUCAGCCGUCACAUUUCUGCCAUAUCACCUUUCCACAAAUCAAAAUAAAAUGGAGUAUAGAGUUUGAUAUCUCAGCUACUUGGAAAAGCGGGGAGUGCAAGUCAGGUCUAGCAGUUUUAAAUUCCACAGGCAAUGAGAUCAAGAUGUUACAAGGCUGGCAAAGGCAAUUUUUUCCUAGCUUCUGUCUAACAAUAUUCAUGUAUCUGGAGGAACGGAGAAGGGGACGAGAGAUUUACCCGUUACUUUUACCUCCUACGGCUGUGGAUUCUUAAUAAGUAGUCAUGCUCCUUUAAAAUCAACAUCAGUAGGCUAAAUUAAAUUAGAGUUCAAAUGCUUGAAAUAAGUUUGCCAACAUCAAACAAUCCUCCCACCCAUAAGACCAGCGGGUUGAAUCGGGUGUCAAUUGGCAAGCAGGGACAAGAGGUUCAGUUUCCGGGGACCAGCCGAAGGUGAGUGUUCAGCCAAAAACUAUCCAGAGAGCCAGCAGCACAAUUCUAAAACCUCUGAGAAUGAGCUUCAUCAGUGUGGGAAUAAUUGGGGGAAAAGAGAUGAGUUUCAUAUAAUUACCUGGAACCACUGGAAAUCCACAGGUUGGAAGAUGCGUGAUUCAAUGGCAAGUCAGAAUGUAGACUUAGGUCAAGCACCUAUUAAGAGGCUAAAAUUAUCAUCUCUAACUCUUUUCCAUAUUAUUUUGUUAUUUACUCAUUAAUCAGUAAGCAUUUAUCGGAAACAUGCCUUUCCUAUGGUACACAGUAAUUUGGAGUACAAAAGAAUAUCAACAUCUGUCCCCCCAAAAUUUAUGAUCAUCCCAGAUGUAGAAAGGUAAUCUUUCAGAUUAGUGGUAUCCUAAGUUAAUCAUAUUUCCACCUGUCCAUGAAUAUGUUCAACAACCGAGUAGGGCAUCUGGAACAGCUUAGUCAGGUGCAAUAUGUAGAAGAAAUUAAUGAGAGUUCACUUCAUUUGAUAAGUCAGAUUCAAAAGGUGUUUAUCCCACUAAGUUUCAUCUCAAUCACUUACAAGUAGUUUGGGUGUCUAAGUGAUAAAUAAACUACUUGCACUGACCCAUUCAUCAUAUUGCAAUAAUGCCCUGAGUUUAAUCCCACUUGAUUGACUUUUCUGAGGAUCUAUCCCAUUAUUAUUCACCCACAUCUUCCCUAGCUUCCCCUUCUAUCUCUUCACUUCAUAAAUUCCCCUCCUCUCUUUUUUUUUUUAGAAUAAAUCAAAGUAAUUUUUUAGCCUGAAGAUGAGCUGAACUAUAUGAAGAAUGUAACAAAUGAAAUGUGUUGCAACCUGGAUAGGACAACAGAGAUGUCAUAAAAAACAUUUUUUAUUGUGGAUAAAGUUCAGAGUUAACUCACUGGCCAAAGGUAAUGUUUAUCAUGCUAUUAGUAACCACCAAUAUCACAUUAAUUUUUUUUUUUAAAGAUUUUAUUUUUUCCUUUUUCUCCCCAAAGCCCCCCGGUACAUAGUUGUAUAUUCUUCGUUGUGGGUCCUUCUAGUUGUGGCAUGUGGGACGCCGCCUCAGCGUGGUUUGAUGAGCAGUGCCAUGUCCGCGCCCAGGAUUCGAACCAACGAAACACUGGGCCGCCUGCAGCGGAGCGCGCGAACUUAACCACUCGGCCAUGGGGCCAGCCCCAACAUCACAUUAAUUUUUAAGAGAUAGAGAAUAUCUCUUCCUUAGACUAUGCUUAAUGUUAUUUUUAUAAUAAGACUGAAGCUGACUUUAAUCUUUUUUGCCUCAACACGUUUUUGGUUUAUUAUAGGGAUGCUUGGGAUAUUUCUCUUGCUUUGUCUUCUAUAAUACGUUGAUUUCUGCUAUUUCUCAGAGCACUUGAGGCUUUGAAAUGUUCUUGCCCCAAAUUCACAUUCACUGUGAGCUGUCAAGAGACGUUAAGACAAAGCAGCUUCUGUCCUGGUGCCUCUUUGAGGGGGUAAGACAGAACUUCGGGUGAAUUAGUCAUCUUCAGUGUCACCUGAGCUCCUGAAUUGCAGCACUGGAGUAUUACAGAAGUGAGCCUCAGACUUGUAUGUGCUUGCUGAUCUCCUUAGGGUCUUGUUAAAAUGCAGAUUCCGAUUCAGUAGGUCCAUGUGAGGUCUAAGACUCAACACACAUAAGACAGCCCCUAGAGCAUCACACCCUGGGUAGCACCGAUUCUUAGCAUCUACUGCAUGAGUUUAUCCAACAGACUAUGUGCUUGGAGUGUUGUUGAUGCCCACAAAUGCUUAUUGAGUGAAUGAGCGUCUAAAACUUAACCUGACAUAAAAUUCACCAUCUUGGCAGCACCAUCAACUCUUUUCAACCCUCAAGGCUUCCAAGACUCCUGUGAAAUUUCCCUUAUGAGAAAAGCUCAUGACCUGAAAAUCCAUCUUCCUCACUAAGGAACCUACCACGGGAGACGUCAGCUUGAACAAAGGCAGCAGAGUGCAGUUCUGGCACCUGAACCUCAGGGGCACGUCAGAAAUACCUGUGGAGCUUUUUAAAAGUACAGGGUCCUGAGGAUGGUAUUUGAAGCUGGAGUCUUUUAUUCUUUUCUACUGCUGCAUAACAAAUUGCCACAAGCCCAGUGUCUUAAAACACACUCAUUUAUUAGCUCCAGAUUCUGUAGGUCUGAAGUCCAGGCGCCACGUGGCUGGGUUUUCCGCUCACAGCUCAAAAACUGAAAUCAAGAUCAGCUGUUUGCAAAAUUCCAUUCCUCGUGAUCAUAGGACCUCAGACCCUGUUUCCUGGGUGACCUUCAGCUGGGGCCACUCUCUGCUCCUAGAGGUCACCUGCACUCCUUGCCACACGGCCGCCUCAGAUCCUUCCUGUGCUUCAAGUCUCUGGCCUCCUCCAUCUCUGACCUCUAGACUCAGAUUAAAGGGCAGGAGUGAUCAGACGAGGCCCAUCCAGAUAAUCUUAAAGUCAGCUGAUUUGGGAUUUUAUUCAUAUCUGCAAAGUCACUUCCACAACGCCUAGAUUAGCGUUGACUGAAUAACUGGCAGAAGAAGUGUGUACCCCAGGGCCGGGAAUUUGGGGGCCACCUGAGAAUCCUGCCUACCACAGCUCCCAAAUGAAAGAGUAGGGAAACUUGUUCACCUCCCCGCCCUCAAUUCCCAGUAAAUGAGAACAGUACGCCACUGACGCUGAACCCACAGCAACUCUGAAAACGGGAAGGAGUGAAGUUAGCACACUGGUCAUUUGGGGAGGUUCUGGAGACCACGCUGAGGCUGGAGACUGAAGGAGCAGAGAGAGGCCACCUCAGGGCACGCAGGAGGCCUGCAGCCAGGAAGCCCACAGGCUCUAGGUCCGCAGGUUGGGGGAUGGGCUACGGGCUGCAUACAGUGAGUGGAACAGGCCUGGUGGCCCUGCCUCAUUUGUAUACCCAUGCCACCACACAGUUUUAUGAAAUAAACUGUAUAUUUCACCAUAUAUUUUGGUAUAAUCACCAGAAUAGUACAGAGAGAAAAAGGUUAAAAAUGCAUAUCUUUGGAGAAUGAGACUGGAGGUGAGGUGUCAGCAGAGGACUUGACUUUUCAUUUAACUCUUUUUUGUACUCAUUAGCUUCUUUAAAAAAAUUUUUGUGUAUAUAUACCAAUUUCACUGUAAAUAUAAAUGCAUUGAACUUUUUGGCAUUAUCUAUUGAUUUGUAAGAAUUCUUUAUAUAGUCUGAAUACUAAUCCUUCAGUUUUAUGUUAUUUUUUUUUUUGCUGCUUGAUACUUAUUUUCCAAUUUAUGAUGACUUUUCACAUACAGAAGUUCUUAAUUUUAGUGUAGUCUAGUUUACCAAUUAUUGAUUUUAUGGUUAGCGAUUUUUGAGUAGAAUUAAAAUUUUUUAGGAUUAAAAAUUUCAGGAUUUCUUCACUUGCAAACAAUAGAAAAUUCAACUUAAGUUUCCAUAAACAACAACAACAAAAAACCAUUGUCUCACACAAUUGUAGAGUUCUUCAGUGAUGAUAUCUUCAGGUAUGGCUUGAGUAUGAGCAAAUGACCACCAGGAUUCAUCUCUGUGUGAACUCACGAGGGUAGCUCCAUUCUUCACGUCCAUCCUCCAGGUGGUGUUACCAGCAGCCUUAGAUGCAUUCGGAUGACCACGAAAGAAGAGCAGCCCCAGACCUCGACCCUCGUGCCAUCACGUCCACAGGAAACAAGGAAAGUUCCUCUCCCCAGAAGCUCAAGCUCAGGUUUCAUCAGCUCUUGUUUGCAUACACGCCCAACCUUAACCCAUAUGGCCAAGAAGAUGAGGCAAGCUGAUGGGUUUACAACAAUCUGAAAAUGGCACCAACCACUGAAAAAUACAUGGGCUGAGAGUGGGGAAAUGAGGGCAAGUUUACCAGAAACACUAAUCCUUUGGGGCUGGUGGCCAAGAACCCAAUAAAUGUCCAGACAAUUUUUUUAUUAUUUUAUUGAGGUCAUAGUAUUUUAUAACCCUGUGAAAUUUCAGUUGUACAUUAUUAUUUGUCACCAUACAUAUGUGCCCCUAACCCUUUAUGCCCACUUCCCAACCCACUCCCCCUCUGGUAACCACUAAUCUGUUCUCUUUGUCCAUAUGUUUGUUUAUCUUCCACACAUGAGUGAAAUCAUAUGGUGUUUGUCUUUCUCUGUCUGGCUUAUUUCGCUUAACACACUACCCUCAAGUUCCAUCCAUGUUGUUGCAAAUGGGACCAUUUCGUAUUUUUUAUGACUAAGUAGCAUUCCAUUGUAUGUAUACCACAUCUUUAUCCAUUCAUCAGUUUAUGGGUACUUGGGUUGCUUCCACGUCUUGACUAUUGUGAAUAAUGCUGCACUGAACACAGGGGUGCACAGUCUCUUUAAAUUGUUGAUUUCACAUUCUUUAGAUAAACACCCAGUAGUGGGAUAGCUGGGUUGUAUGGUAUUUCUAUUUUUAAUUUUUUGAGAAAUCUCCAUACUGUUUUCUGUAGUGGCUGCACCAGUUUGCAUUUCCACCAGCAGUGAAUGAGGGUUCCCUUUUCUCCACAUCCUCUCCAACAUUUGUUACUUUUUGUCUUGACAUUAGUAGCCAUUCUAACAGAUACGAGGUGAUAUCUCAAUGUAGUUUUGAUUUGCAUUUCCGUGAUGAUUAGUGAUACUGAAUAUCUUUUCAUGUGCCUGUUGGCCGUUUGUAUAUCUUCUUUGGAAAAAUGUCUGUUCAUAUGCUCUGCUUGUUUUUUUAUUGGGUUGUUUGUUUUUCUGUUGUUGAGUUGUGGUGAGUUCUUCAUCUAUUUGGAGAUUAAUUCCUUGUCGGAUAUAUGAUUUACAAAUAUUUUCUCCCAAUUGGUGGGUUGUCUUUUCAUUUUGUCCCUGGUUUCCUUUGCCUUGCAGAAGCUCUUUAGUCUGAUGUAGUCCUGUUUGUUUAUUUUUUCUUUUGUUUCCCUUGCCUGAAUAGAUAUGGUAUUUGAAAAGAUGCUUCUAAGCCCAAUGCCAAAGAAUGUACUGCCUAUGUUUUCUUCUAGGAGUUUUAUGGCUUCACAUCUUACCUUCAAGUCUUUAAUCCAUUUUGAUUUAAUUUUUAUAUAUGGUAAAAGACAGUGGUCUACUUUUAUUCUUUUGCAUGUGGCUGUCCAGUUUUCACAACACCAUUUAUUGAAGAGACUUUCCUUUCUCCAUUGUAUGUUCUUGGCUCCUUUGUAUGAAGGAUUAGCUGUCUGCAGAUGUGUGAGUUUAUUUCUAGGCUUUCAAUUCUGUCCCAUUGAUCUGUGUGCCUGUUUUUCUACCAGUACCAUGCUGUUUUGAUUACUAUAGCUUUGUAGUAUAUUUUGAAGUCAGGGAUUGUGAUGCCUCCAGCUUUGUUCUUUUUUCUAAGGAUUCCUUUAGCUAUUUGAGGUCUUUUGUUUUUCCAUAUAAAUUUUAGGAUUCUUUGUUCUGCCUCUGUGAAGAAUGUCAUUGGGAUUCUGAUUGGGAUUGCAUUGAAUCUGCAGAUAGCUUUAGGUGAUAUGGACAUUUUAACUAUGUUUAUUCUUCCAAUCCAUGUGCAUGGAAUAUUUUUCCAUUUCUUUGCAUCUUCUUCAAUUUCUUUCAAUAAUAUCUUUUAGUUUUAAUUGUAUAGGUCUUUUACCUCUUUCAUAAAAUUGAUUCCUAGAUAUUUUAAUCUUUUCGUUAUGAUUGUAAAUGGGAUUGUAUUCUUCAGUUCUUUAUUAGAGUAUAGAAAUGCAACUGAUUUUUGCAAGUUGAAUUUGUACCCUGCAACUUUGCUGUAGUUGUUAUUUAUUUCUAAUACUUUUCUGAUGGAUUCUUUAGGGUUUUCUAUAUAUAGAACCAUGUUGUCUGCAAACAGCAAAAGUUUUGUUUCUUCCUGUCCAAUUUGGAUUCCUUUUAUUUGUUUUUCUUGCCUAAUUGCUUUGGCCAAAACCUCCAGUACUAUGCUGAAUAGGAGUGUUGAGAGUGGGCACCCUGGUCUUGUUCCUGUUCUCAGAGGAAUGGCUUUCAGGUUUUCCCCCAUUGAGUAUGACAUUGGCUGUGGGUUUCUAAUGUUGAGGUACUUUCCUUCUAUACCCAUUUUAUUGAGAGUUUUUUAUUAUAAAUGGAUGUUGGAUCUUGUCAAAUGUUUUUUCUGCAUCUAUUGAGAUGAUCCUGUAGUUUUUAUUCCUCAUCUUGUUAAUGUGGUGUAUCAUAUUUAUUCAUAUGUGUAUGUUGAACCAUCCCUGGGUCCCUGGUAUAAAUCCUGCUUGAUCCUGGUGUAUGAUCCUUUCAAUGUAUAGCCGUAUUCACUUGGCCAAUACUUUGUUGAGGAUUUUGCAUCUAUGUUCAUCAGUGAUAUAGGCCUGUAAUUCUGCUUCUUUGUGCUGUCCUUGGCUGCCUUUGGGAUCAGGGUGGUGUUGGCCUUGUAGAAUGAGUUAGGAAGUGUUCUGUCUUCUUCAGUUUUUUGGAAUAGUUUGAGAAGGAUAGGUGUUAAAUCUUC